UCCUACGGGGGGCAGCAGUGAGGAAUAUUGGUCAAUGGGCUAAGGCCUGAACCAGCCAAGUCGCGUGAGGGAAGACGGUCCUAUGGAUUGUAAACCUCUUUUGUCGGGGAGCAACGAGGCCACGUGUGGCCGAAGUGAGAGUACCCGAAGAAAAAGCAUCGGCUAACUCCGUGCCAGCAGCCGCGGUAAUACGGAGGAUGCGAGCGUUAUCCGGAUUUAUUGGGUUUAAAGGGUGCGCAGGCGGCCUGUUAAGUCAGCGGUAAAAGCCCGGGGCUCAACCCCGGCGAGCCGUUGAAACUGGCGGG
RNAcentral lists this ribosomal RNA (305 nucleotides) under uncultured bacterium. RNAcentral describes it as "bacterial SSU rRNA". It matches the Rfam family "Bacterial small subunit ribosomal RNA", at positions 337 to 640 of the family's 1533-position model. The record is from RNAcentral.